CGGGCCGGCCCCGCCGCUCCCGCGGAGCAGCCCCGCAGCCCCGGCCCUGGCGAGGACGGGGGCACCGACGAGGACCGGCUGAACCGCAACUCCCUAGCCCGCUCCAUUAAGAAGAUCACGCUGUCCAACCGUUACGGGGAGGCUGGUGCGGGGAACGCGGGGAGACCCGGGGACCCUGCCCGGGUCGGCAGCGAGAGGAACCACAACAACAACAACAGCAGGACAGGGAAAGCUCAGUUCAAGGUCUUUCUCAGGAAGGACGUGGAUGCAGAGGAUGAGCAGCAGGAGCCUGGAAAUCUUCAGACCAGUGUUUUCCGCUCUCCAGUGGACAGAUGUUCUCCCUAUUAUGCGGCGGAGGGCUGGGUGCGAGGCAAGUUGCGGGACCUAAAGGACGGCUGCGAUCUCCAGGACUGGGAGGAGGUGGCUCAGACCUUGCAGCGGGACAUGAAGGAUUUUGAGAACACUCUGAUAAAGCUCAACCAGAUGGGUGAGCAGCUGAUGUGGCAGGCAAGCCCCAGUGCUGAGGCAGUGCGGAGGCAGCUGCUGGCCCUGCAGGGUCAGUGGCAGCUCCUGAAGCAGACAGCUGCCAGCCAGAGCAAAGCCCUGGGUGGGCUACGGAGUCUGCAGGACUUCAACAGGAAAGCUGAGCGGCUGGAGGCAUGGAUCAAGCACAAGGAGGAGAAGCCAUCUCUGGCAGCCCUUCUACAGGAAAGCCCAGACAAGAUCCAGCUCACCCGCCGCAUCCUUGACUUGAAGCAGGAGGAGCAGCAAUUCCAGAGUCUGCACAAGGAGGUGAACAGCCUGGCCCAGAAGCUGGAGAAGCAAGGCAAAAGUGAGAGCAGGAACAUCUCAGCCCGGCGCAAGCACCUCAACAAAACGUGAGCAGAGGACACAUAGGCUUAGCGGGACCAAGCCAAGCACCAGGAGCUGACAGGCUGGGAAGCAGGAUUUCCCAAACCUGCUGGCCCAGCUCUGCACAGCUCCCCAGAUAGGCACAGACUGCCCUUCACCU
This 1012-nucleotide long non-coding RNA is filed under the name Manacus vitellinus (golden-collared manakin). Its description in RNAcentral is "lncRNA (ENSMVIG00005006944.1)". Lineage: Eukaryota; Metazoa; Chordata; Aves; Passeriformes; Pipridae. The record is from RNAcentral.